RNAcentral lists this ribosomal RNA (484 nucleotides) under uncultured bacterium. RNAcentral describes it as "partial 16S ribosomal RNA". It matches the Rfam family "Bacterial small subunit ribosomal RNA", at positions 30 to 507 of the family's 1533-position model. The record is from RNAcentral.
AUUGAACGCUGGCGGCAGGCCUAACACAUGCAAGUCGAGCGGUAGAGAGAAGCUUGCUUCUCUUGAGAGCGGCGGACGGGUGAGUAAUGCCUAGGAAUCUGCCUGGUAGUGGGGGAUAACGUUCGGAAACGGACGCUAAUACCGCAUACGUCCUACGGUAGAAAGCAGGGGACCUUCGGGCCUUGCGCUAUCAGAUGUGCCUAGGUCGGAUUAGCUAGUUGGUGGGGUAAUGGCUCACCAAGGCGACGAUCCGUAACUGGUCUGAGAGGAUGAUCUGUCACACUGGAACUGAGACACGGUCCAGACUCCUACGGGAGGCAGCAGUAGGGAAUAUUGGACAAUGGGCGAAAGCCUGAUCCAGCCAUGCCGCGUGUGUGAAGAAGGUCUUCGGAUUGUAAAGCACUUUAAGUUGGGAGGAAGGGCAGUAUAUUAAUACUUUGCUGUUUUGACGGUACCGACAGAAUAAGCACCGGCUAACUCUGUG